RNAcentral lists this non-coding RNA (108 nucleotides) under Faecalibacterium. Its description in RNAcentral is "cf. TPP sequence". It matches the Rfam family "TPP riboswitch aptamer (THI element)". From Rfam's summary of the family: Vitamin B(1) in its active form thiamin pyrophosphate (TPP) is an essential coenzyme that is synthesised by coupling of pyrimidine and thiazole moieties in bacteria. The record is from RNAcentral. Lineage: Bacteria; Bacillati; Bacillota; Clostridia; Eubacteriales; Oscillospiraceae.
AAUCAAAUACAGGGGAGCUUGUGAAGCAGGCUGAGAGGAAGUACUUAAACUUCGACCCUUUUACCUGAUGCGGAUAAUGCCGCCGUAGGAAGUCAGAAUGGAUGAUUU